Molecule: unclassified non-coding RNA, 9290 nt
Filed under: Pomacea canaliculata
Lineage: Eukaryota; Metazoa; Mollusca; Gastropoda; Architaenioglossa; Ampullariidae
Description: ubiquitin carboxyl-terminal hydrolase 46-like, transcript variant X1
Source: RNAcentral
GUCCCAGAAAGCAACAAUUCAAAACAAUAUGGCUGCAAACUUUCUUGGAGCUCUUUCGAAACCGAUGUUUUCCGUUUGACCAUUAGUUAAUACUGUAAAGAUAGCGACUAUCACCCCUCAAUUAGGGGCGUGCUGUGUAGCUGGAGAGAUGGGAGCUAAUGCAUCCCAGUUGGAGAAAGAAAUCGGAUCUGAGCAGUUUCCAGCUAAUGAACACUAUUUUGGGCUUGUUAAUUUUGGCAACACAUGCUAUUGCAACUCAGUACUUCAGGCAUUGUACUUUUGUCGUGGCUUUCGUGAGAAGGUCCUACAGUACAAGCAGCAGCAGAAAAAUCAGAAGAAAGAGUCACUUCUUACUUGCCUUGCAGACCUCUUUUACAGCAUUGCUACUCAGAAAAAGAAAGUUGGUACAAUUGCCCCCAAAAAGUUUAUUACUCGCCUUCGAAAAGAAAAUGAGCUGUUUGACAAUUACAUGCAGCAAGAUGCCCAUGAAUUUCUCAACUACUUGCUGAACACUGUUGCUGACCUCCUUCAAGCGGAAAAAAAAAGUAGCAGCAAGGCAGCAGCAACAGCAGAUAACCCUACUGUCAAACCUGACCCAACCUGGGUGCAUGAGAUAUUUCAAGGAACACUUACAAAUGAGACUCGAUGUUUGAACUGUGAAACGGUCAGUAGUAAGGAUGAAGACUUUCUUGAUCUCUCAGUGGAUGUGGAGCAAAAUACCUCUAUAACGAGUUGCCUGCGUGGGUUUAGUAACACAGAAACACUGUGUGCAGAGCACAAAUACUACUGUGAGGUGUGCUGUUCAAAACAGGAAGCACAGAAACGGAUGAGAGUGAAAAAACUGCCACAGAUUCUUGCUUUGCAUUUAAAGAGGUUCAAGUACAUGGAACAUUUAAACAGAUACAUCAAGGUGUCUUACAGAGUGGUCUUUCCUUUGGAGCUCAGAUUAUUUAACACAUCUGAUGAUGCAUUCAAUCCGGAGCGACUUUAUGAUCUGGUGGCUGUGGUGGUCCACUGUGGUUCAGGUCCUAACAGAGGCCAUUAUAUCAGCAUUGUGAAGAGUCAUGGCUUUUGGCUUCUUUUUGAUGAUGAUAUUGUAGAUAAAAUUGAUGCCAGUCAAAUUGAGGAGUUUUAUGGCAUUCCCUCAGACAUGCAGAAGAACUCUGAAUCAGGCUACAUUUUAUUCUACCAGUCACGUGAGUGAGGCAGGCUUUGUUUGAGAAGUGGAUGCUUAAAAUGGGGACAUCAAAGUGCUGUUUCCUCUAAACCAUCUAUUGCUGAAUCUCUCUCUCCAUUUCCCAAGCGCGAUCUGCAGAUAGAGCCAUUGCUAUUGCCUCUUUCCAAAAUAAUUAUGAGAAUUCCAUGGCCAUUCACUCUAGACUAGAGACUACAUCCUCUUACUGCCUUAAGAUAAUCUCAAUUGAAGAUUGUUACUAGUCUUAAAAGGAUAUUUCAAUAACAUUUGUUUAUUGUUCAUUACAGGCCACACCUAAUCUUAAUAUAAAUGAUCAGGCUACUUUAAAGCUGGGUUAUGUCACCCUUCUUACUUCUUAUGUCUUAGGUCAUUGUUAGUAGGGAAUAUAGAUAGAAACAUCAGAGUAUGCACAAAUCAAAGACUGCCCUGUUCAAGGUAUAUACAGACAGAGAUUGCACAUAUGCAUAGUUUCAUGUUUUUCAUACUUCAGUGCUAUUUUUCCAGCAGCAGAUCUUGUAGUCUGCCGAAGAGCAUCUGUUUAUAUUUUUGAGUAAAAAUAAUCUCAGACUGAUCACAUUUAGUAGUCAAGUCUUUUGGGGCUUUUGUUCUUAUUGAGAGAAGCUGACCAUUUUAGAGAGUGUGCAAAAAAGGAAAUAGACGAAAGCUUAUUUCAGAUGUUAAAGACUUUUUGCUUGACAAAGGGAGAAGAUUUUCAUCUAUUUCUUUGUGCUUUGCUGAAAAAGAAGAUAGAGUUAAAGGCUAUUACUUGAUAAACCACAGAAUGCAGUUUUUUUUUAAUGUAACAAGAAAUUUGUUAUUUUUGCUUUUGAGUUAAAGCUAUACCCAUAUACCCACAGCCCUCUACAUCCAGCAUAAGAUGUGCUUAGCAUUGUAUUGCAGAAUGAGUUUGUGACCAAAAGCAUUUCCUAUUUUUCCAUGUUUCAUGUCUGUAGUAUUUGUGUAAAAAAUAUAAUAGUCAUUAGUAUAUGUGUACUACUUAUCCAAGGUGCAGCCACAGACAGUAGGCCAUAUAUGCACGAAAGAGUAGAAUUACCUAAAUGCUGGUCAGUAGAGAGACUCAGGAGAGCAACAAUAAUUUUAAAGUCUUCCAGCUUGAAAUGUGUGUACUUAUUCAUCAGGUAAAAAAAUGAUUUUUCAGAAGCAAUGAUUUCCUUAAAAGCCACUAAUGGUAAACACAGUAUGCUGUAUGGCUGCAUUUAUUAUUAUUCUUGAAGAGGUUUAAGGUGGUCAGAAAUUAAAUAUCAGUGACAAAGCUGGAGCUUAAAUAAGGCAAGAGGCAGUUUUACUAUCAUAAUCAUGUUUCUGAAGAUGCACAUUGAGAAAGAGAUCAAGAUAAUUUUGUGAGAGGCUAGGCCAUUAAUUCUUUUGGAGUGCAGUUUUCCCUCCCAGAAAUGAUUAUUACACAUUCCUAAUAUACUUUCUCUAUUAAACAUGUCAGAAAUGCCAUUCCCUGGCAAUGCAGAUCUACAUACCUUUGUGUUGGCCUGUAUUUGAACACACCUAGUCGAUUCACAUCAUUUGUGUCCAGCCUAUGAUGCAAUGGAGGGAGAAGAUAAAGUGUGAUAUUAAAAAAAUCAUUUGAGGUGAUGCCUAAAUAGAGCAGGUUUCUAACUUAAAAGUAACUUAAUUGUGUACGCCUAGAAACUUGUGUCGUAUUUAGAAAUUCUUGAAAAGCAAAUGAUUUAUUUAUAUGUUUUUUUGCUCAAGUAGAAAUAUUUAAUAAAUAAAUAAAUAAAUAAAAAUUAACACACCAGAGUUCCCAUAGCUCUAGAAAUUCCUUUUAUUGCUGUUUAGGUAUUUUUGAGAUUUUCACUAGUAUGAUUUGUGUUGAGGAAUGCAUACAUUAGAAAGGACAAGUCUUUGUUGUUAUUGCUAGGCAUUUUCUGUCACAGAUAAAAGUGGUAUUGUGACUCCUUCUAUCAUGAACUAACAAAAUCUUUACAAACUAAGUCACUAGUGAUAGAAUUUUCAUUUUUUACCAUUGAAUGUGAAAUCUAAAUGUAAUUCAUUUCAUGACUGUUUAAAAACUGUUAUAUGACUUUGCUUAAAACUGCAUAAUUACUUGUGUAAUGCUCUGCCAAUUUUGUUUUUUUCAUUUAGUUUUGUUUUGCUGAGGGAUGAUAUUUAGUGUUUAUCAAAAGAUAUUGAAGUCAUUCCUUUGACUUCUGCUUGGCAGGAAGGUAUUGCUUUGGGAAAUGGUCCUCAUUAUUUCUUUGGAAAUAUUCCCAUGAAAAGAAUUUUGUGGCUUAUUUUCUGCAGUGUUGACAGCGGAGAAAACUUAAGAGUGCAUCAAAUGAUGGAGAAACUGUGGCUUCUGUUCAGUUAAAUAGUAUGUGGAAAAAAAUGGUAUACAAUACUAUUUUGAAAGUCAUUCAUUGGAUAUUGUUUCCUGUGAUAAUAUUAAACAGUGUGUUUCUUGACCAGGAAAUGUGUCCCAGAAGUUUCCAUUCUUGCUAGUGCACUUUUGGCAUUAAUAUGCAUCACCUUCAGCAUACAGAUUUGCAUUUGUGUAAAUUAUAUAUAGUGUUUUCAAGGUUGUGACACGUUUUUGAGUUGUCAGUGUCCAUUCUUUAGAUUACUGGGUUUUUCUCCUCCCAAGAAAAAGCCCACUUUUUCACCAGUUUUGUGGUGUUGUGUUUAUUUAUCGGAAAAUUUGCACGAAUUUCUUGCCAGUGCGAUCACAGCUUGUCACUAGUUAAAGAUAUAUGACUCUGCCUGUUUUGUCCAAAGUCUGUACAAAGUGUAGAUAACCUUCUGUGUCAAUUUUUUUUCGAUUGAAGUCAUGGGAGCUGGAAAUAGAAUUGCCUACCUGUAUCCUUGUACGUACUGUUACUGUGAUGAGACAGUUUGUCACAAACGUUUCAUUGACUUUACUUUUCUCUUCUGUGAUAUAAAUGAAACUAUGUGAAUAAGACUGUUGUACAGUCACAUGGCAUGUUCAUCUUUUUCUGCAGCGUCUGGAAUGAGUUUCUAAAAUGGUGGUUACACAAUAGCCAUGUGUCUAGAUUUGAAGUGUACGUGAAAAACCAUCAUGCACUUUUAGUAAAGACACAACUUUUUAUUUAUUUUAUUUUUUUUUUUAAUGAAAAGCGAUGUAGACUCGUCGUCAUUUUUUAAACAAAGUUGUAUUCAACGCUAUAAAUUUUGUAGCGUAAUGUCUCUUAAGGCAGUAGAAGUGUAUUUCUGUAUUUCUGCACACAUACACUUCCCCUCUUAUAAAAACAAAUAACAUGCUUGCAAACAUCUGUAGGAUUUAUGUUGACUAAUUGAAAAAGCCUAUACUAGAUGCCCUGGUUUAAAUAAUUCAUAAUUCAUGGUAUAGUUUCUAUGCUACCUGAUGCAUUUCUGUAGUUUCUUUUGGUGACCUUUGUGUAUGGCAUGAAAAAAGAUAUGUACAGUUGAUUAAGAUUAGUGCAGGGUUUCACUUGCACAUGUUCUUAGCCAUGAUUUGAAUUGCCUAUUGCUUGUUUGGUGAAACGGUGUGUGUUUAAAAGUAAGCAGUAAACAGAGCUGUUAGCGCAUUAUUUGACCUCAAAGGUCAAGAAACAUUGGUGGUGUUCAGCUUUUAGUUGGAAUUUAAGUAUGAGAUAGUGAAUCAGGCCAGAAUAUCAUAAAAAGCCAUCAUGAAAUGCAAUAAGUAAUAAGCAGAAGAUUCCUAGAUUUUGGUUCACCUAGUUUAUGAAAGGAGGAUCACUACAUUUAGCUUAUGUCUUUCUCAAAAUAUUGGCUAUGUUAUAUGUUACUUUAAUUAUCUCUGUUAAGGAAAGUGGUGCUAAAAACAGGUUAAUAGUUAAAGUGAGGCAAUAAGACUUGUUUUUCCUAGACACAUUGAUAAAAAAAAAAAUAACAGUGAGGCAGUAUUUACUAUCCAUAAAAAGCAAGGGGUUUUUUGACCCUCAGUUAAAGUUGGGGUUGUUUUGUUUUUUAGACUUACAGAUAUAAUUACAAGGAGUUUUAUGAUUACACAUCAAUGUGUAGGUGUUGAAUAUUAUGAUUUUGUCUAAUUCUCAAAAAGCUCAUCUAAUUAUUGGUGCCAUAUUUUUGCGCUUGUAAAAACUGCCACUGACAUUUAAAAAUAAGUUUCGACAAAAUAUCAGUUCUUGUAUUCAGGUUUAUUUUUAAAUUUCCUAAUUUUUUUUUUCAUUUCUUUGACCUCUAUUCUUAUGUUUAGAGACCUCCUGAAGCCAACUUUUUAUGUUCUCAGAUACCCAUGGCAGAUUUUCUUUGCGUUAUUUUAAUCUCUUUUGUGAGAUAUAACGCAGCAAGAAAGGGUGCCAUGAGGUGUUUUCAAACAAUAUGGAAAUAUUGUUAAAGUUGCUGAUGAUCCAGUAAGAAAUAACUGGAAAAGCGGUCAGGAUUUUUAACUGUUAAAAAUAACAAUUUUGAUAGGAAAGUGAAGAAGGACAAGCCAAAAGUAGUGAGUCCAAUGUGUGCACAGAUGUGCAAUUAACAAGCAUAUGACUGGGCUGAAUUAAGGCUGCGAAAAGAGUUAUCUGUUGUUGUUUUGUAUUUGCUCCUUUAUAUUCUUUAAUUUCAUCAGAUUUUUUCGGGUGAUGUAUGUUUAUUAGCUUGGAGAUAAUGCUUUCUAUCAUUGUCGAAGGCUUUUUGAUUGGAGUGCUAUGUUAGGAGAGGGAUGAUAGAAGGCAAAUAACAGACCUGUCUCCUAGUUAGACUGGCAUCCAGGAUGGCAAAGGCAGUUUCAUCUCUGAGAUAAAAUGUUCCAUAAUGCUGAAGAAGAUAGGCUAGACUUUGGUCCAGUAUCUGCUGUCAUUGCUGAGGACCUUUGCUCUUCAGGUAGUAAUUUGUGAUUUGGGUUUCAGGUUUAUUUAUAUGCAUGCCUGCAGGCCUCAUCUUCUUUUUUUUUUUUUUUUUUGUCUGUGUUGGUACCAGAUGGACAUGUGAUCGUUGGUGGCUCAAGCUUGUUUAUAGAUAGUAGAUGUUUUGUAGAUGACUGGAAAGUUUCUUUUCAGUAUCUUAAUUUAUCAUAUGGAAUGGGAGUGUGCAGGUUGUUGUUUGCCUAUGUUACCCAUUCAGUUUCUUGCACAAAUUUGCAUAUUUUCAAUUAUGAUGGUUAGCCUUUAGUUAUUCAAAAGUUUUUUUAUCUUAAUUAUAUCUCAUUAGGAAGAAAUCCUAUCAUUUUUUUGUAGUGUUUGCACUUACAUGUUAAAUUACAAAAUUUUGGUUAUGAUUCUUUUGGAGAAAUAGAUCCUAUAGGUUGAUUUGUGUUACAAAAUGCAAAUCCAGGAAUGGAAAUUCCCAUUCAUAUGUUUAUCUUUGUAACGAAACAAGCUCAGGGCUGGAACCCAUAGGGGUGGCGCAGGGUUGGGAGACCCAGACAGACAUGGAGGAGAUCGGUCCACAGUGAGGCAGAGGCAGCUGGCAUAACAUGAUCCCAACUGGAAAGGAAUGCCAGAACUGGAUCCGAUGGUGUUGUAAUUGUGGUCCUAUGCUCCACUGAGCAUGAAAAGGAAUAAUAAGAAGCUUAAUUUUGCAACAUCUGCGUUAGCAGACUUUCUUUUUUGUCAUGUUACUCCCCCAAAAAAGAAAAAAAACGCCAGCAAAAAUUUUGCAGCAUCAAAGUCUUAAACAAUAUGGUUGCCACUUUAGAAAUAACUACUGCUUGUAAGGAAUACAUUCUUUGUUUUGCAUUCCUUUUCUCAAGGAGGUUACCUAACUUUUGCAGUAUUGUAGUUAUAAUGUCCUCUUGGUAGUGGAUGCCUGUUGUGUGAAGCAUUGACCUUGCCAGAAGCAGUUUUUACAGUUUAGUAAGUGCUAGAGGAAGACAAUGGCCAUAAUCUUAAUGUAAGCUGGCAAAUAAAGUCAUCUGAUAACACCUGAGAAGUAUAUUGUGUGAUUGAUUUAUUAAUAGCUUGGUGUGGGCGAUGGAUUGGUACUAUUGGUCCAUGUGUGUGCAGGCAUACCGUUAUUUGGAAAUGAUUUAUUAGUAGCUUGAUAUGGGCGAUGGAUUGGUACUAAUAGUCCAUGUGUGUGUAGGCAUGCUAAUGAAUCCAGUGGCAUUUCAAUGAUUCAGCUUUAGAUGUGCAAUCAGUGUGACUUAUGAAAUAUUGUUAACUCUCUUAGCACCAGAUAAAAAUAUAACAUUACAAUGACUGGCUUAUAACUGAAGACUGUGAAGACGACAGUGGGUGAAGUCUGUUUUUAUUAUUGUUGCUCUGAGGAAAACAGACCAAGAACCCUAUACAUUUUAGGAAAGGAGAAAACUUGAACUUUGCAGUAAAAGUAAUGAAAAUCGCCUUCCCAAUGCUUCUUGGCAAAGCCGCAAUCAUGAUCCAUCGUGCUAAGAGGGUUAAGCAAAAUUAGUGUUAGAGAUCAAGCUGAACAUCUUUAUUUCAGUUUUUUUUUUUUUUUUUAAACAAUUAGAAACCUUUUAAUUCUGAGAAAUUGCAGGGGUGUGUAUGAGAAUAUUUCAGCUAUGGUUAUGUUGUAGGCUGAAUUCUGAGAGCUUAUUGACUGUGCUUGCUUGUUGCUUAAGAUUCUGAAUGCUGAACUUCAUCUUAUGUGCAUGAAUGAGUCUUCUAAAAUUAUGGAUUGGUCAGUAUACAUAAUUACACCAAUAAAAUGUUGAAUGGUGGUUUUGGCAAUCAGAUGCCUGUCACCUGUGAAACCGAAAAAAAUGAGUUGAUGAAAUCAUAGCAUUAGUUAUAGGAAUUCUUUUUUUAAUAAUCUGAAAAUGAACUUGCAUUUUAGUCUUUUUUUUUCCAGUCUGGUGUUAUUUUAUGUGCAGACAUGUUGAGUUUAUUCAAUCAAAUGUCUUUAUUUGUCUGUAAGGAGUACAUUAUUUGUUAAAGACCUUUAAAGAACAUAAGAUUCACUCUGACUUGGUGGUAUUAUCAUAAAGACAUUUCAGAUCUGGAAGUCUUUGUCUCAUCUCGCUUUGCUUUGGAGGUCAAGAGCUGCUUGUUACCUUUAGACAAUAUAUUUGUUGAAGCUUUCGAGUUUAAAUCUGACAAUGUAUCCCCAACCAGUGAAGUGGAUUUUUUUGGCACUUUUUUAAUAGAAUUAAAAUUAUUACAUUCAUUAAUACAAUGAUGGUGUAGUGAAAUGCUGUGUUCAGUAGCCCUGCCUGUUAGGCUUUUUUAUUGCGCAAAUAUAUGGAUAUUAUCAUAGAUAAUGAAAUAAAUUUGUUCAGGCUUUUUUCAAAACAGUUUGUUUCGAUUUGAUUCCGACUGAAAAACUUUAUGCCCAAAAUUUUGUUAAACUUUUUUAAAAUGCACAAUAAAAAGCAGCUUUUAUGUGAGAAUGCAGACAUAGAAGUAGUAUCAAAUCAAGAAGAAAAUGUGAUUUUACGUAAAAUGUGUGGUUUAUGUGCUUAGGUUACUCAGAACUGCCAGUUCUGCAGAUGGUAAUUUUAUGCCAGAUAUUCAUGUACUUAAUGAUUUAAAAACUCAUUUCUUUUGGGGGAAAAAUUGUUCUCUGUUCUACUUCUUUGCUUGAGCAAAGUUUUUAAAGCUGGGUAUUUUGAUGGUGACCAAUGGAUGCGUGUAACUUCCAUAUCCACUGGCUUUCUAGGUACCCUUUUGCUUCACGUCAUAUUAACAGGAUUAAAAAGGCAGCCAACUAUUGUAUGAUCAAAGAAUGUGCAUAAUUGUGGAUUUUUCUGUACAGUUUCUGAAGUGGGGGAAAAGAGAAGGCCUUUAAUUGUUUCCAUAUUCUGAUCAAAUUACAAACAUUCGAUCGUAAAUCCCUAGUUUGCUAUUAAAAAACCCCACUGUAUACAAAUUUAAGGUUUAAAUAAUUUAAAGGGCAUCUGUCAAAUUUAGAAGAUAGUAAUAAUUUUUACAGAUGUGCCUGAAAGGAAGGGAAGCAGAACUUUGCAAGGGCUACGGCAAGCUCAGACCUCCCAAGAAAGGCUUGUUCAAGAUUAUGCAAUACAAAGUAUAUUGUUUAAUACCCCAUUUGUGGAAAUGACAUGAUGUAAUGUCACAGAUUGUAUUUUCCAUUAUUGAAGUCAGAAUUGUUCUUUGUAAUUAAUGAAACAUGUUCAAACAUUGUCUUCAGGUCAAAUAAGAUUUUAAUCAUAAAUGCUUAUAAAAUAGUAACUACUGUAUCAUAA